Molecule: non-coding RNA, 206 nt
Filed under: Candidatus Anaerobiospirillum pullicola
Lineage: Bacteria; Pseudomonadati; Pseudomonadota; Gammaproteobacteria; Aeromonadales; Succinivibrionaceae
Description: 6S RNA
Rfam family: 6S / SsrS RNA
About the family: E. coli 6S RNA was the first non coding RNA to be sequenced, but its function was unknown until recently.
Source: RNAcentral
UGGCUUCUGGGGUGUUCGCCAGUUAUUGUUGCCCUGAGCCACAUUAAACUGUUUUAGGGAGCUCUUCUUGAGCCUCUUCUGAGCACGCUUAUACUGACUAGCUCGCCUAGCCCAGUCCCUAAGAAGCCUUUGAGAUUCACAGGGUUCCCCCUUGUACCUUUUUGGUUCAAGGAGCUGAACUUAGCAGCGGCAUUUCUGGGGUCAUC